Molecule: ribosomal RNA, 527 nt
Filed under: Lanistes ovum
Lineage: Eukaryota; Metazoa; Mollusca; Gastropoda; Architaenioglossa; Ampullariidae
Description: partial large subunit ribosomal RNA
Rfam family: Bacterial large subunit ribosomal RNA
Source: RNAcentral
UUGAAAAAUUUUUAUAGGGAGUCUUACCUGCCCGGUGAUACAAUUUUAACGGCCGCGGUACUCUGACCGUGCAAAGGUAGCAUAAUCAUUUGCCUUAUAAUUGAAGGCUAGUAUGAAAGGUUUAAUGAGAACUAAGCUGGCUCCCGUUAAUUAAAAUGAAAUUGUCCUUUGGGUGCAAAGACCUAAAUUAAACUAAAAGACAAGAAGACCCUAUUGAGCUUUAAAAGUUAUAUGAUAUUUUAACGCUACAAUUUAACUGAAUUAUAGUUCAUUAAUCUUUUUUAGUUGGGGCGACUCUGGAACAACUAAAGCUUCCAGGAAUCUGCUAAAUAGCUAAGUUUAUAUCUGUUCAGAUGUGACCCUAUUUUGAUUAAUAGAAUAAGUUACCAUAGGGAUAACAGCAUAAUCUUUUUUGAGAGCUCUAAUCGAAAAAAAGGUUUGUGACCUCGAUGUUGGACUAGAAUAUCCUAAGGGUGCAGAAGUUCUUAAAGGUUGGUCUGUUCGACCAUUAAAAUUCUACGUGAUCU